Molecule: long non-coding RNA, 661 nt
Filed under: Hordeum vulgare
Lineage: Eukaryota; Viridiplantae; Streptophyta; Magnoliopsida; Poales; Poaceae
Description: long non-coding RNA (HVUL_LNC004786)
Source: RNAcentral
GGAGGGAGUAGUUAUAGUCUGUUGCAUUCUUUCUGCAUCUGCUGUAGCUCAGUGGUAUUGUUUUGCCCUAUAUAUAUUACCUGCAAUUUAUGUUCAGCUUAUGAAAUUGUCGUAUAAAGAUUACGUUAUUGCAAGAAAGCUGAUUUUGAAAAUGUCAAGUGUCAGCUAUGCUCAGUUUCUUCGGGGUAUAAGUAAGAGCACCUUAUUGCAAGAAAAUUCUGCGUUUCUUAGUGUUUUUUUAAGAUUAGAAUUGCACAAGUUACAUCCAGAAGCAUUGCACGAAAGGGUAGAAUUUACACAAGAUUAACACCCUGCUUUGAUGGAGAGUUGGAGACUAACACGCUGCUUUUGUGAUAGAACAUCAGGGAGGAUUUGCGUUUUUGGCAAAAAGGUGGGGAACCUGGGGCGGGCAUGUAACUGUGAAGUAGUCGUGCUCGGCGUGAAUGCAUUUAUGUUGACUGCUCGUGUAAAGUUGGGAAUCGAAUGCAUUUGAUGUCAUCCGUUUGCAGAAAGAAUGUGUUUUCAGAUUGUAAAAAAAAAGAAGCAGGGGUCAUUGCUUAGAAUGAUAUAGCAAGUCUGCUACUUUGUCAAUUGGCAUGAACUGUGUAAUCUAUUGUCGUUUCAGAACAUUCAACAACUGAUCCUAUUUUCAUUAUCUAAU